RNAcentral lists this long non-coding RNA (221 nucleotides) under Vigna radiata. RNAcentral's name for it is "long non-coding RNA (VRAD_LNC015465)". Lineage: Eukaryota; Viridiplantae; Streptophyta; Magnoliopsida; Fabales; Fabaceae. The record is from RNAcentral.
GACUUCCUUUUGGUGCUCGGUCUUAACUGAGUUCUGCUUAUGUGGAGCUUCAGUUAAUGACCGAUCGAUCUUUUGCUAGUAUUCAAAUGAAUAUAGCGUUCGGUCUAAUCAUAGCCUUCAGGUCUUAACCUAAUAUUUUGCCUAGAUAGAGUAUCCAAUGUAGUCUAGGUUCUCGGUCUUACACUAGUACUCUGUUUAUAUUUGGGGAUUUAGUAUUAAUU